This 498-nucleotide long non-coding RNA is filed under the name Equus caballus (horse). RNAcentral's name for it is "lncRNA (ENSECAG00000058912.1)". Lineage: Eukaryota; Metazoa; Chordata; Mammalia; Perissodactyla; Equidae. The record is from RNAcentral.
CUGGAGAGCUUGGCCUCUAAUGUUGCCUGGGCUCCACCCUUGGAGAUCCUGAUUUAAUUGGUCUGGGGUGGGGUGCAGGAGUCAGCAUUUUUUUAACAGCUUUCCAGAUGAUUCUUUUCUGUAGCUAGGUUGAGAAGUGCAGGAAUCAAAAACAGUAGAGAUUUCAGGAUAGAAAGAACAGCACAAGGAUUCAUCACUAUUCAAGACCUUACCUUGCUACACAAAACAUCAACAUCUCUGUCCUAUCUGCGUGCUUAGUUCAAUUAGUUUCCUGUGUGACUACGUCUGCUACGGAAAGAAGAUGGAGGUUUCAUCUUGACUCUGACGCUGUCACCCCUCAGAUUCUUCUGUCCAAACCAAGUGCAGACCAUUACACAGAGCAGGAUAGUGGACUUGGCAUCCAGCAAAGGCAAGAACAUUUCCAUACAUGUAUGCGCAGUUUUGAGUGAGGUGCACAGGAACACAGUUAAGAUAACUCAAGAGUCUUUGAAUCCUGGA